GAAGUUUUCAGAGAUGAGAAUGUGCCUUCGGGAACCGUGAGACAGGUGCUGCAUGGCUGUCGUCAGCUCGUGUUGUGAAAUGUUGGGUUAAGUCCCGCAACGAGCGCAACCCUUAUCCUUUGUUGCCAGCGAUUAGGUCGGGAACUCAAAGGAGACUGCCAGUGAUAAACUGGAGGAAGGUGGGGAUGACGUCAAGUCAUCAUGGCCCUUACGACCAGGGCUACACACGUGCUACAAUGGCGCAUACAAAGAGAAGCGACCUCGCGAGAGCAAGCGGACCUCAUAAAGUGCGUCGUAGUCCGGAUUGGAGUCUGCAACUCGACUCCAUGAAGUCGGAAUCGCUAGUAAUCGUGGAUCAGAAUGCCACGGUGAAUACGUUCCCGGGCCUUGUACACACCGCCCGUCACACCAUGGGAGUGGGUUGCAAAAGAAGUAGGUAGCUUAACCUUCGGGAGGGCGCUUACCACUUUGUGAUUCAUGACUGGGGUGAAGUCGUAACAAGGUAACCGUAGGGGAACCUGCGGUUGGAUCACCUCCUUACCUGAAAGAA
Molecule: ribosomal RNA, 550 nt
Filed under: Salmonella enterica
Lineage: Bacteria; Pseudomonadati; Pseudomonadota; Gammaproteobacteria; Enterobacterales; Enterobacteriaceae
Also listed under: 1 other name
Description: bacterial SSU rRNA
Rfam family: Bacterial small subunit ribosomal RNA
Source: RNAcentral